RNAcentral lists this ribosomal RNA (428 nucleotides) under uncultured bacterium. Its description in RNAcentral is "bacterial SSU rRNA". It matches the Rfam family "Bacterial small subunit ribosomal RNA", at positions 354 to 796 of the family's 1533-position model. The record is from RNAcentral.
GUUAGGAAUUUUACGCAAUGGACGAAAGUCUGACGUAGCAAUGCCGCGUGAGUGACGAAGGCCUUCGGGUUGUAAAGCUCUUUUAGUUGGAAAGAAAAAAAUGACGGUACCAACAGAAAAAGCACCGGCUAACCCUGUGCCAGCAGCCGCGGUAAUACAGGGGGUGCAAGCGUUAUUCGGAGUUACUGGGCGUAAAGCGCACGUAGGUGGUUUAGUAAGUCUGGUGUGAAAUCCCCGGACUCAAUUCGGGAAGUGCAUUGGAUACUACUAGACUAGAGUAUAGGAGGGGAGAGCGGAAUUCCUGGUGUAGAGGUGAAAUUCGUAGAUAUCAGGAGGAACAACGGAGGCGAAGGCGGCUCUCUAGACUAUAACUGACACUCAGGUGCGAAAGCGUGGGGAGCAAACAGGAUUAGAAACCCCGGUAGUCC